Long non-coding RNA from Ochotona curzoniae (black-lipped pika), 1172 nucleotides. RefSeq lists it as uncharacterized. The record is from RefSeq and is a predicted model, not a curated record. The transcript is spliced from 2 exons. NCBI's taxonomy places the organism in Eukaryota, Metazoa, Chordata, Mammalia, Lagomorpha, Ochotonidae.
UGCUUCUCGGGCUGUAUGCUGACAGUAAGCUGGAACUGGAGGCAGAGCCAAGACUUGGACCCAAGCCCUGGGAUAAGGUGGAAGAUGUCCUGAGAGGUAUCUUAAGCACUUGGUCCACCCCCACUUCGGCUAAACCGCUAAAGAAGAAGAAGAAAAGGAGUCACCAAGGUCACACAGGUUUAUGUCUUACUGAUUUCCUCAGCCUCUUUUCUUGAUGUCACUUCUCCAGCAGGCAAGCAGCAACUUCUUUCCAUUCUCAUCUUAUGCUACAAACUCAGGAGGGUGGCAUCACUGCCCAGCCACUCUUCUCACGAUAAGCCAGAAACUCAGGAACAGGAAUGGUGUUGUCACAUUCCAAUGGGGCCAUCACCUACCUUCACACGUCCUCCCAGUAUGAAGACAUGGGACAUCUGGGAGCUGCAAACACAAGGUUAAAUGGCAUUUGUGUGAUUUCUCAAGUCAUAGGAACACCUGGCACAAAGUUCCCAAGUCCCUUGGGAUGUUCUGAAUGUCAGGAGCCUCCUUUGGUUCUAACCGGAUUCCUGAUAAGCUCCUAGAUGGGCAUGAAGGGCAGCAAGCACUAACUUCCAUUAAGGAGUAGAAGCUAAGAGUGUUGAGUCCCGCUCUGCCUUCUCUGAAGAGUCCAUAAUCUGUUACACCUACGUGACAAUGCCCCAUCAAAAUCCUGAAAGUACAAUGCUCCAGGGGCCUUCUGGGUUGGCAAACACAACUACAGGCUGGGCAGGGGCAGUGUAUCCAACUCCAAGAGGACAGCAGGACCUCUCCAUUUGGAUGUUCAUCUGCAUCCCUUAUCUUAUCAUUACAAUUAUUUAGUUAGUUAGUUUAGAGCACCAGAGGCAAAUACAAAGUGAACUCCCGCCCGCUGAUUCACUCCCCAAAUACCCAGAACACCAAACCUGGGCCAGCCUGGAGCCAGAUUGAAAGCAGAGAAGCUGUGUGACUCAAUCCAGAUGUGUUGAUAUGGGAUGCAGGUGUCUCAAGUGGUAAGCUUACUAGCCACACCAAAAGCCUGCUCCAAUGCCCAUCAUUCAGAAUCAAGUUUGCUCAAUGUUGUACUCCACUUGGCCUCCUUGUCCUUGAGCACUCGGGCGCCUAGGCAAGGAUUCUGGAAGACAGGCCCUCCCAGGGCUGGCUCAGCAACUUGCUGGAGC